GCCAAGGUCAUUGUCAGCUCCCUGACGACUAGCAGUCCUUACAGCCUUCAAAGAGGGAAGCAAUCUAAUUUAACCCCAUCCUAAGUACAUAUGUGCUAGGAGCACCACUGAUUAUAAUUUAACCUGGUAAAGCAGGCUGAGUGCUAAUGCCAUUUAAGACAUCUAAAAAUAAAUCAGGAUAUGAUUGAUAACCCAAGUCUUUAUCUCGAAGGCUCUUUAAUUAUCAACCUUUCUCUGUGCUCUAUCAGCACCUUCCACAUGCAAUUAUCAUCUCAUACAGUUGUCACACAUGUCUCCUUGCCUCAGGGGUCUUUCAAGCUCAUGAACCACCAGGGCUGAUUGUCAGUCAUCUUUGUUUCAUCAAUAACCAGUAUAAUAUCUGGCUCUAACAGACCUCCAACAUU
This 404-nucleotide long non-coding RNA is filed under the name Homo sapiens (human). RNAcentral describes it as "HSALNT0075158". The record is from RNAcentral. Lineage: Eukaryota; Metazoa; Chordata; Mammalia; Primates; Hominidae.